This is a non-coding RNA of Arabidopsis thaliana (thale cress), 198 nucleotides long. NCBI's taxonomy places the organism in Eukaryota, Viridiplantae, Streptophyta, Magnoliopsida, Brassicales, Brassicaceae. The record is from RefSeq.
GGUUGAAGGUGGCAAUAACCUCAAAUAUAUCAGAGGGUGUAGAUACUCAACGACUAUAGGAGGCAAUAACUUGAGCAAACAAUUGAUUGCAGAAAUCCAUCGACUAAAGCUGUCACCUGUUUGAUUCCAGCUUUUGUCUCCUUACCUGUUGAGUGUCUAAACUCUCUGGUACGUUCAUAGUUGUUGCUGCCUUUCGCU